Molecule: long non-coding RNA, 397 nt
Organism: Micropterus dolomieu (smallmouth bass)
Lineage: Eukaryota; Metazoa; Chordata; Actinopteri; Centrarchiformes; Centrarchidae
Exons: 3
Source: RefSeq, a predicted model, not a curated record
GAAGAGCGACCGUAGAAGAAGGCGGAAACAAAAGAGGUUUUAUAAAAACACAAACACAUACCCGGCUGUCGAAGUACUCAGGGAAUAAAGAACAGCCAUUGACUUCGCCAGCAAUAAUAUUAAAAUUCAAAUAAAGAGCGAGUCGAAGUGAGUUGAGGAGCGCACUGCACCAGUCAACAUGGCACUGAAACGAAUACAAAAGGAGCUCCAGGACCUGCAGAGAGACCCUCCAGCACAGUGCUCUGCUGGACCAGUGGGGGAUGACUUGUUUCAUUGGCAGGCAACCAUAAUGGGUCCGGUGAGUAUUACGCCAUCACUUUCAGUCCUCUCUCAAAGACUCCUGUGCUUGUGCUACAUUAGAAAUGGUCUCUUAGUAGCUAUGGGUACUUAAGAUUCA